RNAcentral lists this ribosomal RNA (255 nucleotides) under uncultured bacterium. Its description in RNAcentral is "partial 16S ribosomal RNA". It matches the Rfam family "Bacterial small subunit ribosomal RNA", at positions 524 to 777 of the family's 1533-position model. The record is from RNAcentral.
UACGUAGGGUGCAAGCGUUGUCCGGAAUUAUUGGGCGUAAAGAGCUCGUAGGCGGCGUGUCGCGUCGGGAGUGAAAGCCCGUUGCUUAACGGCGGGUUGGCUUUCGGUACGGGCAUGCUGGAGUGCGGCAGGGGAGACUGGAAUUCCUGGUGUAGCGGUGGAAUGCGCAGAUAUCAGGAGGAACACCGGUGGCGAAGGCGGGUCUCUGGGCCGUUACUGACGCUGGAGGAGCGAAAGCGUGGGGAGCGAACAGGA